CAUUUCCUCAAGCACGGCGGCGCGUGAGAUAUUCAAAAACCACGACGCGCCGCUGUCAGGGAGAAUGAUUUACGAAGCAAUGAAAGGGGACCACGGCACAGAAGGCUCCUUAAUCACCUCCCAAUACGGGCCGCACUGGCGGAUGCUACGGCGGCUGGCAACGUCAGAGUUCUUUGUCACCCGCCAGCUGGAAGCCAUGAAACACGUCCGCCGCCGCUGCAUUGACACCAUGAUCCGGCAUGUGGAGGAGGAAACAGAAGUUGGCGAGGGCGGCGCGUGUGGGAACGUGGCGCCGUUGGACGUGGGGAAAUUCAUGUUCACAAUGAGCUUUAAUUUAAUCGGGAAUUUGAUAUUUUCAAAAGAUUUAUUGGAGGCAAAUUCGAAGAGGGGAAAGGAAUUUUAUUACCAUACGAGAAAAGUGAUGGAGAUGGCCGGAAAGCCGAAUGUGGCGGACUUUUUACCGGCGUUACGGUGGGUGGAUCCGCAGGGGAUUAGGAGGAAGACGCAAUUUCAUGUGAAUAAAGCGUUUGAAAUUGCUGGGGAAUUUAUAAAAGAG
This 556-nucleotide unclassified non-coding RNA is filed under the name Hevea brasiliensis (rubber tree). The record is from RNAcentral. Lineage: Eukaryota; Viridiplantae; Streptophyta; Magnoliopsida; Malpighiales; Euphorbiaceae.